This 253-nucleotide ribosomal RNA is filed under the name uncultured bacterium. Its description in RNAcentral is "partial 16S ribosomal RNA". It matches the Rfam family "Bacterial small subunit ribosomal RNA", at positions 524 to 776 of the family's 1533-position model. The record is from RNAcentral.
UACGGGGGGUGCAAACGUUGCUCGGAAUCAUUGGGCGUAAAGCGCACGUAGGCGGUUCGUUAUGUCGGAUGUGAAAGCCCUUGGCUUAACCGAGGAAGUGCAUCCGAAACUGGCGAGCUAGAGUACGAAAGAGGAUCGCGGAAUUCCCGGUGUAGAGGUGAAAUUCGUAGAUAUCGGGAGGAACACCGGUGGCGAAGGCGGCGAUCUGGGUCGAUACUGACGCUGAGGUGCGAAAGCGUGGGGAGCAAACAGG